GUUUAUUAAGAAACUGCCUAAGGCAGGACUGGUGACUGGGGUUAAGUCGUAACAAGGUAUCCCUACGAGAACGUGGGGAUGGAUUACCUCCUUU
This 94-nucleotide ribosomal RNA is filed under the name Mycoplasmopsis agalactiae. RNAcentral describes it as "partial 16S ribosomal RNA". It matches the Rfam family "Bacterial small subunit ribosomal RNA", at positions 1440 to 1533 of the family's 1533-position model. The record is from RNAcentral. Lineage: Bacteria; Bacillati; Mycoplasmatota; Mycoplasmoidales; Metamycoplasmataceae.